This 394-nucleotide ribosomal RNA is filed under the name uncultured bacterium. RNAcentral's name for it is "partial 16S ribosomal RNA". It matches the Rfam family "Bacterial small subunit ribosomal RNA", at positions 338 to 730 of the family's 1533-position model. The record is from RNAcentral.
CCUACGGGUGGCAGCAGUGAGGAAUAUUGGUCAAUGGGCGGGAGCCUGAACCAGCCAAGCCGCGUGAGGGAUGACGGCUCUAUGGGUUGUAAACUUCUUUUGCAGGGGAGCAAAUCGCGGCACGUGUGCGGUUUGGAGAGUAUCCGGCGAAUAAGCAUCGGCUAACUCCGUGCCAGCAGCCGCGGUAAUACGGAGGAUUCGAGCGUUAUCCGGAUUUAUUGGGUUUAAAGGGUGCGUAGGGGGACGAUUAAGUUAGAGGUAAAAUUGCGGGGCUCAACCUCGUCGAGCCGUUGAAACUGGGGGGCUAGAGUGGGCGAGAAGUACGCGGAAUGCGUGGUGUAGCGGUGAAAUGCAUAGAGAUCACGCAGAACACCGAUUGCGAAGGCAGCUUACC